This is an RNA transcript of Drosophila montana, 2961 nucleotides long. It is a transcript of the gene named Nicastrin, with no coding region annotated. The transcript is spliced from 7 exons. The record is from RefSeq and is a predicted model, not a curated record. NCBI's taxonomy places the organism in Eukaryota, Metazoa, Arthropoda, Insecta, Diptera, Drosophilidae.
UAAAAAAUCAUUGAUACAUAUGUGCAGUUUCUUGUCUUUAUAUUAUAUUAUUUAUAUAUCAUAACGCCGGAGCAUCGGCGCAUAAGCUGCAAAGAACGAGUAAAUGGCACAAGAGGUAAAAUCAGCUGCGAUAUGGCUGCUGUUGUUGCUUCAAAGUAGCGCAAUUGUUCUUAGCGAACGCACGCGUGAUAAAAUAUAUCAACCUAUUAUAGGCGCAAGCUGCUUUCGACGCUUAAACGGCACUCAUCAGACAGGAUGCUCAUCAACAUACUCUGGUUCAGUUGGGGUGCUGCACUUGAUAAAUUUAGAAGCAGACUUGGAAUUUUUGAUCAGUAGUCCUCCGUCACCUCCUUACGCUCCCCUGAUUCCACCACAUUUGUUUACAAGAGCCAACCUGCUACGUCUCAAAGAAGCCGGACCGAGAAUAAUAUCCGUUGUACUGCUAAUCAACAGGCCCAAAAAAAUGUCACAAUUUUCGCAUGAACUUAACUGUCCCAAUCAGUACAGCGGUCUAAAAUUGGACAACAGAAGCGAGACCGUCACUUGCGAUACUACCAACGUGGGCAACACCUGGAAUCGUUGGGGCACUGGCCUUCUGCAUGAGGACUUUCCAUUUCCUAUUUACUAUAUAGCUGAUGCUGAAGAAAUUGAGAAACUGGAAAACUGUUUUGAAAAAUUUAACAACUUUGAUUAUGCGUCCCAUGCCUUGCGUAGCCUAUGUGCUGUGGAAGUAAAGUCUUUUAUGUCAGCAGCUGUUAACUCUGAAGUUUGCAUGCGUCGUACUAAUUUUAUAAACAAUCUUGGAGGCAGCAAAUAUUGUGAUCCCUUGGAGGGUCGGAAUGUUUAUGCAACAUUGUAUCCGCGAAAUUCACCUGAAAACUUAGAAGCUAAUGCUGCACGCAGCGUCAAUGCUAACGAGAAGUUUAUUAUUGUGUCAUGUCGUUUAGACACUACAAGCAUGUUCGAUGGUCUGGGUUUGGGCGCAAUGGAUUCGCUCCUGAGCCUGGCUACUCUAACCCAAGUGGCUCAUAUGCUGCGCCUACUGUUGCCUGCGCAGAGCACGCUGCCUGAUCCGAAACGCAAUGUGCUUUUUGUGGCAUUUAAUGGCGAGUCUUAUGACUACAUUGGGUCUCAGCGAUUUGUCUACGACAUUGAACAUCUGGCUUUUCCUACCCGCUCCACACUUAGUACUCCUAUUUCAUUUGAAAACAUUGAGUUUAUGCUGGAUAUUGGCACACUAGACGACAUAGGAAAUAUUAAGCUUCACACACUUACCUCAACGCCGCUGGCUCAGCAAUUGUUGCAAAAGCUCAACCGAUACGCCAAGUCACCGCGAUAUGGUUUUAAUGUUAACAUCGAAUCAAACGUGGGCUAUCAAAUACCACCCACAUCAGCGCAAUCCUUUUUGCGUCGCGAAACCAAGUUUCCGGCAUUAAUCUUAAACGCUGUGCCAGGCAAUAAAUACUAUCACUCCAUAUAUGAUGAUCUUGAUAACGUGGCCUUUAUAUAUGCCAAUACGAGCGAAGAUUUUACAAUAUUGGCUGAUAUAAACGAUAAAAAAUACUUCGACUCCGAUUCCUUGCAAAUGAAGGUGCGCAAUGUCUCAUCCAUAGUGGCAAUGACGCUUUAUGAGACUUUAACGGGCAAACAAUACCAAGGCAAUGAAGUGGCCAAUUCAAUACUGGCCGAUGAGUUCUUCUACUGUUAUCUGCAAUCUUCCGAUUGUCCUCUUUUUAAAGCUUCUUCAUAUCCGAACAGUCCAGCCGGUCUACCGUUGCCGCCUAUGCGGUACAUAAGUGUACUGGGUGGUUCACAAGAAUCAUCGGGUUGGACAUAUCGACUGCUCGGCUAUCUGCUCUCACAUCCGGAGCCAAAUGUGCCAAAAGAAAACUGCAGUCAGCUACCACUAUUUUAUUUUGCCGGCAUCAAUGGCACUGGAGAGUGUCGUCGUACAACGCAGAAUUUUACAAGUGCACUAAGUCCGGCAUUUCUCAUUGAAGACUACGAUUGGCGUUCAGGGCAAUACUCUACAUGGACUGAAUCCACUUGGUCACAGUUCAGCGCACGUAUCUUCCUACGUCCGUCAAAUGUGCAUGAAAUAACCACUCUAAGCAUUGGCAUCGUGGUGUUUAUAAUUUCCUUCUGUUUAAUAUAUAUUAUCAGCUCACGCUGGGAGGUGCUCUUUGAGGAUGUGCCUGCUAGUAAUGCGGCGUAAGUUUUAAAAAACAACUCUACCUACACAUCUCCGUAGACCAAGGGGGUAACCAUUUUAAACUUGGAUUGGGUCAUAUCGCUAUUAAUUUCAUAUUAUUUAAUUGAUGUAUUUGAAGUUGGCCCUGCAGCAAAAACCACAAGAGCGCCUUUAUUACAUAACUAUUAGCUGUGCAUGCAAUUCUCACUUCAAAAUACUUAGUGACCCGAUUUAAAUUUAUAAUUAACUUUUGUAUUAACCUCAUUUGACUUGCAAUUCUAGAUUGCCACCGCCAACGGCCUGUUAGUGGCAGGACAAUCGGGAAGCUCCCUACCUAAUAGGAAAACCUAAUAUAAGAAAAACCACAAAAACACUUGAAUAAAUUUCAUAGCAAUAAUCAAUAACUAUUAUGUAUAACCCAUGAUAACUUAAAAACCUCUAACAGAUACCUUAUAUUCCAAUUGCUUACUUUAAGUGCUAGAAAAUAAAUAUUUGUUUAUAUAAGCUUUUGUAUUUAAAAGACGUUACAAGCAAUUAGAGUAUUUUUGUAUCAUAAUUAGCAAUUAAAGGAUAUCUAUGGAAAUGUUUUUGUUUCUUGUCUUGUUUGCUUAAUACUAGAAUUUAUAAAAAUAAGCAGAAAACUGAACCUAUAAGGAGGCCAAUAAAUAAGGUCGCAGUUAAUGCAUAUAAUUAAUCUUUAUGCUAAGUUUUAAUCUUGAUGUUUUAUUUUAAAAAGCAGAAAUAAAAUUAUUUAGAUAUUUUUUUUUGAA